UUGGAAGUUUUCAAUAUCUGCAACCAAUGAGUAUUUUGUCUGUGUUUUACCAAAAACUAGGAGCUUUUUGUCUGUGUUGUACCAAAAAUGAGGAGCUUACUCCUAAGAUUUAUAUAUAGAGAAAGUGAAGAUUUGAAGGUCAAAAUUCGGACUUAUCUUAGUCAAUGGUCAUAGGUAUAUACAUAUUUAUGAGAUUGAUAAUAUCUGAAUCUCCCUGUUGUAUGACCUUCAUUAGUUCAGUGUAGAAAAGAUGUCUUCCAUUUCUUUUUCUUUUACUGUUUUGGUAGCCUAAAAUUACCCACAAUAUAACAUAUAAUUUUAAGUCCAAUGUGGAGUAAGGAUAAUGUACAUGGAUGUGAUGCCUAUUUAUAAUUGAGUAUAGAUGUGACAUGUUGACUACAAAAGCAAUGCAAGCCCCAAAAGGAAAAUUUGGAAAUCUUCGAUAUCAAGCCAUUUACACUAACUAGAUAUGCAUCCACGCAUAACCCAAUAUUCAUUCUCUUUCAAAUAAUAUUUGGCAUGAAACGAAUGGAUUAAUGACUUUGAAUUCAGAUAUUCCUGGUAAUGAAGAAACUGCAAGUAUUAAAUGGGUCAUGUAUUAUUUUGGUAAGAACAAAUGAGUUAUUUAAAUAUCAAAGGAAUGAUAAAGAAUUGCAAUUCCUGGAAUAUCAGUUAAGCGUUAAGCAUUCACAUAGUAAUCUCCAAUACACGUCUCUUAAAUCUAAAGAUCCACAGCUAACUGCCAAAUAAAUUCCACUCCAGAUCCCUAAAUAGCAAAUGCAUUGGGGAGGGUAUUGGGAUACAUCAUGGAGAAAGAAAUAAUCUGACAAAAAAACAAUGAUAUCUUAUAAACCAUCGUUUAAUUUGUGCUGUUUAUUGCUGUGAUUCUUUCCUCUACGCUUUCAGAAUUCAAAAGAACAAAAAGGAUUUUCUAAGCUAGGACCAUGCAUUUGAAUUAUCAAAUUAACAAUUAACAAAGUAUAGAUGACAUGAAUGAAUACCUGAUGGAUAUCAGCCAGCUACAUUCAAUGUUUACCCUGGAUUUGAGGCUGAAAACCUGCCCUGCGUUAGGUAAACAAAAGUUCGAAAAUAAAAGAAGGGAGAAAAUGAUAGAUAAAUGAGAGGGGGGCCAGAGAGAGCUCUCUCAAGCUAAGAUCAAUAGUAAACAAGGUUAAGUUUUAAAGGAAACAUGGUAAAAUACAUGCCUGCUUGUGUCCCUGUACAUCCCCAGAAUAAACAAAGAUGUUCACAACCAAGUAUUCCUCGGUCAUCGACUCAUCAGUAAUAAUUCCUUUACUUUGGCAUUGCAAAGGUAGAAUUAAGUCCCGC
RNAcentral lists this long non-coding RNA (1329 nucleotides) under Prunus persica (peach). Its description in RNAcentral is "long non-coding RNA (PPER_LNC008497)". Lineage: Eukaryota; Viridiplantae; Streptophyta; Magnoliopsida; Rosales; Rosaceae. The record is from RNAcentral.